This 269-nucleotide small RNA is filed under the name Pan troglodytes (chimpanzee). RNAcentral's name for it is "processed transcript". The record is from RNAcentral. Lineage: Eukaryota; Metazoa; Chordata; Mammalia; Primates; Hominidae.
ACAGGCCAGCCCUAGUGAAGAAAACAAAGCAAAUAAAAACCAGUUUGCAAAGCGUGGAAAAUCUGGGGAAUGCAUAAAGACAUAUCAAGAAACAGAAUGACCUCACUUAUCCUGUUUGGUGUAUGCCGUGACAGUUGGAAGGAAAUAUACCCUGAAAUUGUCCUCAGUGUACAAAUGAAAAGCCUCCUUUUCCCACCUAACAUUACUGUACAUGUGGGGUCUUCCCAUGUUUAUCCGUGUUUUUUAUAAAUGCCAUGAUCUGCAGUGAA